This 468-nucleotide ribosomal RNA is filed under the name Veillonella parvula. Its description in RNAcentral is "bacterial SSU rRNA". It matches the Rfam family "Bacterial small subunit ribosomal RNA", at positions 28 to 472 of the family's 1533-position model. Lineage: Bacteria; Bacillati; Bacillota; Negativicutes; Veillonellales; Veillonellaceae. The record is from RNAcentral.
GACGAACGCUGGCGGCGUGCUUAACACAUGCAAGUCGAACGAAGAGCGAUGGAAGCUUGCUUCUAUCAAUCUUAGUGGCGAACGGGUGAGUAACGCGUAAUCAACCUGCCCUUCAGAGGGGGACAACAGUUGGAAACGACUGCUAAUACCGCAUACGAUCUAACCUCGGCAUCGAGGAAAGAUGAAAGGUGGCCUCUAUUUAUAAGCUAUCACUGAAGGAGGGGAUUGCGUCUGAUUAGCUAGUUGGAGGGGUAACGGCCCACCAAGGCGAUGAUCAGUAGCCGGUCUGAGAGGAUGAACGGCCACAUUGGGACUGAGACACGGCCCAGACUCCUACGGGAGGCAGCAGUGGGGAAUCUUCCGCAAUGGACGAAAGUCUGACGGAGCAACGCCGCGUGAGUGAUGACGGCCUUCGGGUUGUAAAGCUCUGUUAAUCGGGACGAAAGGCCUUCUUGCGAACAGUUAGAA